This 253-nucleotide ribosomal RNA is filed under the name uncultured bacterium. Its description in RNAcentral is "partial 16S ribosomal RNA". It matches the Rfam family "Bacterial small subunit ribosomal RNA", at positions 524 to 776 of the family's 1533-position model. The record is from RNAcentral.
UACGGGGGGGGCAAGCGUUGUUCGGAAUUACUGGGCGUAAAGGGCUCGUAGGUGGCCAACUAAGUCAGACGUGAAAUCCCUCGGCUUAACCGGGGAACUGCGUCUGAUACUGGACGGCUUGAGUUUGGGAGAGGGACGCGGAAUUCCAGGUGUAGCGGUGAAAUGCGUAGAUAUCUGGAGGAACACCGGUGGCGAAGGCGGCGUCCUGGACCAAUACUGACACUGAGGAGCGAAAGCCAAGGGAGCAAACGGG